ACUAGAGUAGCACUCGCAUAUCAAUAAGCGGAGGAAAAGAAACUAACAAGGAUUCCCCUAGUAACGGCGAGUGAAGCGGGAAGAGCUCAAAUUUGAAAUCUUAAAGGGUUUCCCUUUACGAAUUGUAGUUUAAAGAAGUGUUUUCUGUUGAGGUUUUGGUAAAAGUUCUUUGGAAUAGGACAUCAUAGAGGGUGAGAAUCCCGUAUUUGACCUUUACUUUCAACUUUGUGAUACACUUUCAAAGAGUCGGAUUGUUUGGGAAUGCAGUCCAAAAUGGGUGGUAAAUUUCAUCUAAAGCUAAAUAUUGGCGAGAGACCGAUAGGCGAACAAGUACCGUGAGGGAAAGAUGAAAAGAACUUUGAAAAGAGAGUUAAACAGUACGUGAAAUUGUCAAAAGGGAAGCGUUUGACACCAGUGUUGUUUUUCUGAAAAUCAAUUAAAGAACUGUUUAUGCUAAGUUGUUUAGACUUUAUCAGCUAUCUGCUCAGUUUUGAGCUUUUCUUUAAUGCACUUUUCAGUUAACAAGUCAACAUCAAUUUCUUUUGCUGUAAAAAAGCCUGAGGAAGGUGGCUUGAGAUUCGUCUUAAGUGUUUAUAGCCUCUUGCCUAUGCAGUCGGAGAGAUUGAGGUCUGCAGCGUAGAUCCUCCGGGGCUAAAUGCAUUUGUGCUAAGUUAUAGCAUUUUAUAGACAACUUGUUGACUAUGAUUUGUCUUGUAGCUUACUCGCUUAUGUUAUUUUACCUACGCUUAGGAUGUUGAACUCUAUCACACACAG
This 774-nucleotide ribosomal RNA is filed under the name uncultured Neocallimastigales. Its description in RNAcentral is "partial large subunit ribosomal RNA". It matches the Rfam family "Eukaryotic large subunit ribosomal RNA", at positions 20 to 621 of the family's 3401-position model. The record is from RNAcentral. Lineage: Eukaryota; Fungi; Neocallimastigomycota; Neocallimastigomycetes; Neocallimastigales.